This 515-nucleotide ribosomal RNA is filed under the name uncultured bacterium. RNAcentral describes it as "partial 16S ribosomal RNA". It matches the Rfam family "Bacterial small subunit ribosomal RNA", at positions 28 to 523 of the family's 1533-position model. The record is from RNAcentral.
GAUGAACGCUGGCGGCGUGCCUAAUACAUGCAAGUCGAGCGAAUGGAUUAAGAGCUUGCUCUUAUGAAGUUAGCGGCGGACGGGUGAGUAACACGUGGGUAACCUGCCCAUAAGACUGGGAUAACUCCGGGAAACCGGGGCUAAUACCGGAUAAUACUUUGAACUGCAUGGUUCAAAAUUGAAAGGCGGCUUCGGCUGUCACUUAUGGAUGGACCCGCGUCGCAUUAGCUAGUUGGUGAGGUAACGGCUCACCAAGGCAACGAUGCGUAGCCGACCUGAGAGGGUGAUCGGCCACACUGGGACUGAGACACGGCCCAGACUCCUACGGGAGGCAGCAGUAGGGAAUCUUCCGCAAUGGACGAAAGUCUGACGGAGCAACGCCGCGUGAGUGAGGAAGGCUUUCGGGUCGUAAAACUCUGUUGUUAGGGAAGAACAAGUGCUAGUUGAAUAAGCUGGCACCUUGACGGUACCUAACCAGAAAGCCACGGCUAACUACGUGCCAGCAGCCGCCGUAA